This is a long non-coding RNA of Manis javanica (Malayan pangolin), 2012 nucleotides long. RefSeq lists it as uncharacterized. The record is from RefSeq and is a predicted model, not a curated record. NCBI's taxonomy places the organism in Eukaryota, Metazoa, Chordata, Mammalia, Pholidota, Manidae.
AGAGAGGCAAGCGAAUGCUGGAGCAGCUGUGCAGGAGGGGAAGGCGGCCGCAUUCUGAACCUGCUGGGCCAGUCAGAUUAGAAGUCAAAUCCGCUUAUUCUGGCUCCCCCGCCAGCCCCAGGGCCACUGCCUAAUAGCCUGGACACUGGGGCUUAAAACCUGGGAAACAAAACAGUUCGGAGGGCAGUGAGACAGGUUGUGUAUAUUUGGGCAGCCUUUUGGGUGAUGGAGCUUAUGAGGGGCUAAGGCCCCCUGAACCCCUUGCAUCCGCACUGGUGUAGGCCUACCUGGUGCCACAGAACUGAGCACAUAAAGAGUGUACAUGGGGUUGACCAAGAAAUGCCUCCUGGAGGAGAAGAGUUCGAAGCAUGCUUGGAAAGAGGAGAGUAGGAAUGGCUCGUACAAGCCGGAGAGGCUGAUGUAAACUUGGGGGCAGGGAGGACACUCGGAGGGCACCUUGGUACCAUGAGUGCCCCUUCGUAACCGGGACAGGAGUUCCAGCAAGGGCGGCGCCUGCCUGUGGUGCGAUGGAGAAACUGAGGCACAGAGUUCCUGUUAUAUGGUCCCAACCACUAGGAAGUGGUGAAGCCAGGAUUCACUCCGAGGCUGAGAUGUGCCCUUGACCUUCACCCUGCACUGCCUCUACUGCUUAUUGAAUCCCCUAUACCUUCUCUGUACUGUCCGUUACCAAGUGGGACACUUGGCUGGAGGUGUAGAAUCGCAGGGGCUUGAGGGGAACUUGCCAAGCCAUCUGCCCAAGGCAGGAAACAGGUCUGGGCCCAAACCCUGGGGCCCAUUCCCACUUAUCAGCUCCAGCCUUGGGAAUCCCAGGACGGAUCCCACUCCCCAGAGUCAGUCCCACGUCUGGAAAUGUCAAGGUAGCCUGGCCUCGAAGCCAGAGGCCUGACUGGGAGACUGCCCCGAGCGUACUGGAAUCCAGGAGAAGGGCAUUUGCAACCCCGGAACCACGGCUCGCCACAUUCUUCUCCGCUUCUCGGAGGAGCGCUUCUCCCCUGUGGGCCAUACAUCGCCGCCCUGCUUGGCAGAGAAGAGACCCAAGGUCAUGGUCAGAUGAGGUGCAGACCUGGCAGAUCCCAGUGGCCCCUUCCUCCAUGAUCUCCUAAGACUUACCAGUGGCAGCGAGGGCCCUGGAGUUCCCAAGCGCUCUCUGGGCCCGGCUUGGAGUGCUCAGUGCCUCAGAAGGCCGCCGACCCUCGCGAGUAACGCCUGUGACCCAGUGCUUUUUAUCAGCAACUCUCUUUCCAUGUUUACUUCCCCAGUUAGGUUUAAAGUUCUGUGGAGACAGAACUCUGGGCUGAGGUCAUCUUAAAGUCUUGCAAAAUCUUUUAGGUAAAAUGUGCUUGAUACAUUCUUGCUGAUUGAGAUCUUAACAAUCUGAAGAAUGCAAGAAAAGAAAAUGUAUGGUCCGAUUUUAAUGCCAGGACUGGGAUCCCUGGGGGAGAAAGGGAACUGGGAUUCCUGCAGUGAGAGAAGGGGGUGGGCCUGUGCCGAGGGAUGUUAAUGCCCCCGCUUACUGGGCACUCUGUGUCAGGCCCCUUACGGGCAUUCUCUCAGGAGCCCUCACAGCUCCGUGAAAGAGAUGUUGUCACCAUUUUCACUUCACAGAGAAGGAAAUGGAGGCCCAGAGAGGUUAAGUAACAUGCUCUAGAUGACACAGCUUGCAAGCAGCAGAACUGGGACUUGAAUCCAGGUCUGUGUAUCUUGGAGCUCUGGAUGUGCAGGGAACCCAGGACCCAGCUGAUCCCUCCUCCAGGGAAAACGUGGAAAGCAUUAAAAGUUUUUGUUGUGUCUGAAAUAUAGAAACUUGAUGAAUUUAGAAAGAAUAACUAAUGGUCAACUCCCCUUCCCCCAAGGAACUGAGAGCUCAUGAGAGGAAGCAAAGACCACAUCCUAAGUGAUCUGAGACUCUGAGCUUCUGCAAGUAGGGUCUGAGCCAGAGCCAGGGUCAAGUGUGCAUCUCGGGUACUGGAAAGAGCCUGGCUCAUAGUCAG